Pteropus alecto (black flying fox) is the source of this 470-nucleotide long non-coding RNA. RefSeq lists it as uncharacterized. The transcript is spliced from 3 exons. Lineage: Eukaryota; Metazoa; Chordata; Mammalia; Chiroptera; Pteropodidae. The record is from RefSeq and is a predicted model, not a curated record.
AGCUACUUGAAUACAAGGACCAGGAAAGCCUCAGGAAAGCACAGACCUCGGUGGCAGGCGUGAGGAGGCCUAAUGUGCUACAGAAAGAAUAAAAGGUUACUUAUAACUAUAAUUAAGAUGCAUUAAAAUCUAAAAAAAUGUUUAGAAAAGCAGACUCUACAGAAUGCUGAGAAGUCUUCUCUUUUGCAUUAUGAUCUGAUUGGCAGCAGAUCCAGAAGACAACCACCACCAACUGUAGACCUGCAGGAGAGAGGGAAGUAAGCUGAGAUCAGCGAAGGCAGGGUCCUACCUACAUCCAAAGACAAGCAUCCUUAUAAGAGUGAGGCAAAGGACGAUGACACGGGAGAGAAGACCCUGUGAAGACAGAGGCAGAGAUUGGAGUGAUGUGGCUACAAGCCAAGGAAUGCCAGCAGCCACCAGAACCUGGACAAGGCAAGGGCCAUAUUCUCCUCAGAGCCUUCGCCCAACAC